CUUCACUGGUGGGCGUACACAACCUGGUACAAUAAAGCCCGAUGAAGGAGAGAGGCAUCCUUAUUCAGUUCUAGAUUGCCAGCCUAUACGUGAAGCUAUCUUACCUUCUGUACUCUACAUACAGAAGAUCUUGCGGCGUAAACCCUUUUUGAUUAAGAACCUUGAAAAUGUUAUGCGAAAGUUCCUUCAGUCCUUGGAGCUCUUUGAGGAGAAUGAAAGAAAGAAGCUUGCUAUAUUCACAGCCCUUACAUUCUCUCAGAAACUAUCAGGGCUUCCGCCUGAGACCGUCUUUCAGUCAUUACUUAAGGACAAUCUUGUGGCUAAGGGGAUAGUUCUUCCAUUUAUUACUGAGUUCUUCAAGGAAUACUUGGUCGAUAACAGUUUAGAUGAUCUUAUAUCACUUCUGAAGCGAGGUAAAAUGGAGGACAAUCUCCUUGAUUUUUUCCCUUCGGCAAGACGCUCUGCUGAAUGUUUCUCUGAGCAUUUCAAGUAAGUACAUCUUCUGAAUUAUUAUGAAGUUUAUUAUACCCCUAGUCCAUCUGCAAACUAAUCGCUUACCCAUUUCUUCAUUUGGUGAUUUUCCAGCAAAGAAGGAUUGGUAGCUCUUGUCGAGUACCAUGAAAAGAAAAUAUUUGAGGUGAAGCUGAAGGUAAUGAAAUCAGCUCUGACGACUCAGAUUGCAGAAGAAACUGAUGUAUCUGAAGUUAUAGAGACUGCAAAGCAACGAGUGAAAGAUGCUAACUUGCCUGAUGUUGAAGUUGUGCGCAUUCUCUGGGAUGUGCUAAUGGAUGCUGUUCAGUGGUCUGGUAAAAACCAGCAGCAGAAUGCAAAUUCUGCACUUCGCCAGGUAAGUAAUUCUUUUUAAUUUAGUUCUAUGUUUAGAUAGAAGAUCUUUGACAUCUAUAUUGAUUAGUGACAUUUAUAUGUUCUCUUACAAUAAUUUCAGAUUCUUCUGUUAUUUCAGUUUCUUUUUUACUUUACUUUUCAAGAGAAACAUGAGUCAUAGUUGUAAACUUCACUAGAUGCCUUUUCAUGUAUGUGCGACUCCUGUCUACCACAAAUUUACAAGCUGCUCUAUUUUAGUUAGUAGAUACAUCAGGGUUAGCAUUUUGUGAAUUAAAGUUCAUGGGACGUGAUAGGCAGAGCAACUUGUCUUGAAAAAGAAGUGAGCAUGAAAACUGAUCAUCUUUGGAACUUGUAAAGUCAUUUUAUCUAAGAUUAGUAAUAUGAUUAUCAAUUUAGGUGCAACUGAUUACACAAAACUGAGGUGUGAUUGUGCAAACAUGCAUUCUGAUUUGAUGUAACAUGGCUUUGGUCUCAACUUUAGUCUAAGACAACAUACUAAUGUGAAAAAUAACUUGAUCAAUAUGAUGAGAAUGGAAGGGCAAGAAGGAGAGAGGGAUAGAAUUAUACUAGAACCUAGAGGAAACACUUGUUACAAAGAGAUAAGACAACAAGACCAAAAAGCCUCUUGACAGAAAAUUUCAUGAGAUCAUUUUUAUUGUCAUUCUCAUUUCACUGCAUACUUGUUUUAUUUAUUAAACAAAGGAUAAGAUGAGAAUUCUAUAUUAUCAUCUAAAACUACUUACUAAUCUAGAUUAUCUUGAAGAUAAGAUCUUGUUCAUUUUAACGUUGUUUCCAAGAGAACAAACAAAUUAUAAAUCCUAAGAUGAUGAUAUGAUAAGACAUUCUAACCAAUUCAAUAUCUAACUAAUACAAAAAAGAAAACUUGAAAGUCUAACCAAACUAAAUUGAGUUAAAAGCAUGAAUCCUUUAUAGGAUGCAUUUAUUUGCUUUCUGCUGUAUAGAGCUCAUCCUCAAAAUCCAUGGUGGAGUUGCACUAGAUUUGAUAUUAAAAUUUCACUGGAAUUCCUAAUCAGGAUGACUCUGGUUUUGAAUUUCUCCCGCUGUUGCAAUCACUUGAAUCAUAGAAUUUCUGUCGUCUGAGUGAAGAUUAUAAGAAUAAGGCUAUAAGCUGGAUGAAAAUUUUAAGUGACUUUCAAAAUUGAAAUAUUCUUCAAUAUUUUCUUUCCAAAGGUUUUUCAUAAGUACUGUCUAAAUGAUAAGACAUCCUUUCCAAACCCAAUAUCUGAUCAGUUCAAAAAAAUCUUGAAAUCAAAUCUGGUCUAUUUUUUGGGAAUGUGUUAGAUAUCCGAGAAUGUCAAUGGUUAUCGGAAGAAUAGGGAAAACAGAAUGAUUUUCUUUGGACAUACAAAAGGAAUGGCACUCUUCCAUUGACUAGAUGAUGUGGUAUUUAUGUAGUGUUAUUCUGUGCUUCAGAUAACUGUCACCCAUUGCAUCCAAGUAUGGACUGGCAACUAUUGCAUAUUUUCCUUCUAUAUGGUGUUUACAUUAGAUGGAAGGAUGUGCUAUUUCUAUGUUUCCGUAGAUGAAAUGCUCUGGUAUCACAGUACAUUGUGUCUAGACUCCAAGUGCUUUAAUUUGGACAUGUAUGUGCUUAAUAUUGCAAAGAUACGAAGUUCAACCAUAUCAAUUGUUCAGUAAUAUGUCUGUUCGCUUUGGCAAUUUUAAUGAUGCUAUGCCAUCAAAGUAGCAAAAAACAUCCUGAUUUUUGGAACCAAGAUGUGUCUCAUGUACAGAGGUUCAAUUUCUCUAAAGAUUAAAUAAUUGAUGCAUGAGGAGUUUAACUUGUGUUGGGAAUUUUUUGAAAAAAGUGUUCUAGGCAGCAGAACUAGGAUGCAGAUUUUAACUUUGAAAAAUGGAUUUUCCAGUUCAAUCUUGAUUGGCUGUUCCUUUUAAGUUGACUUCUAAGCGCAUGCUUAUUAUUUCAUGCAUGUGCCCCUAAUCUCAGUUCUAUUCAAUUUAGGUUGCCAGAAUUACCUAAUUAUGAGGAUCUUUUAGCCAUAGGGGACUGAAUAUCAAUGUUUCUUGCAGAUACAUUUUGAGCAACUGUUGUUUGUUGCUUAUAUGGGGUGCCUGUCUUUUGUCUUGAUGCUUCAACUAUUUGGUAAAAAUGUGCAUGUUUUCUCUUUUGUUCUUCUAGUUAAGCAUCCUUAGCCAUCGUCUUGCACAUCAUAUAAGUGUAGAAUAUUUGGUUCUAUCAAUGCUGUACUUGGAAGUUGGCUUCCUGUGCAUUUGCUUUCAGGAGUUUCAUAGUAUAGAUUUCAGUGUAUUUUUUUUCAUGUAUUCUGUACAGCAUGUUAAUUGAUUAUUUUUUAUGUAUGUUAUGCAAGUGUACACGUAGGGUAUGAAAUCCCUUGAUAAUGACAUUCUUUGUGGAGGUGACUUCACCUUUUCCUGUUAAAAAAUAAAUUGAGUAUAAAAGGAAUGGAGAAAACACUCUUUAUUUUUCAUGCUAUUUUUUUUUUAUUUAUUUGGAUCAAGGACUUUGCUAUGUCUGCAGGUGAAAGCUUGGGCAGGGCUUCUGAAUGCUUUUUGUACUAGUGGGAAACUGGAACUAGAACUGAUUUACAAAGUCCAGAUCCAGUGCUAUGAGGAUGCCAAACUUAUGAAAUUGUUUCCAGAAAUUAUAAGGUCUCUUUAUGAGCAAGAUGUUCUUGCUGAGGAU
Molecule: long non-coding RNA, 3529 nt
Filed under: Musa acuminata (dwarf banana)
Lineage: Eukaryota; Viridiplantae; Streptophyta; Magnoliopsida; Zingiberales; Musaceae
Description: long non-coding RNA (MACU_LNC006516)
Source: RNAcentral